ACUCCUACGGGAGGCAGCAGUGGGGAAUAUUGCACAAUGGGCGCAAGCCUGAUGCAGCCAUGCCGCGUGUAUGAAGAAGGCCUUCGGGUUGUAAAGUACUUUCAGCAGUGAGGAAGGUGGGUAUGUUAAUAGCAUAUCAUUGAUUCGUGAUCUGCAGAAGAAGCACCGGCUAACUCCGUGCCAGCAGCCGCGGUAAUACGGAGGGUGCGAGCGUUAAUCGGAAUUACUGGGCGUAAAGCGCAUGCAGGUGGUUUGUUAAGUCAGAUGUGAAAGCCCGGGGCUCAACCUCGGAAUUGCAUUUGAAACUGGCAAACUAGAGUACUGUAGAGGGGGGUAGAAUUUCAGGUGUAGCGGUGAAAUGCGUAGAGAUCUGAAGGAAUACCGGUGGCGAAGGCGGCCCCCUGGACAGAUACUGACACUCAGAUGCGAAAGCGUGGGGAGCAAACAGGAUUAGAUACCCUGGUAGCUACGAGU
RNAcentral lists this ribosomal RNA (474 nucleotides) under uncultured bacterium. RNAcentral's name for it is "bacterial SSU rRNA". It matches the Rfam family "Bacterial small subunit ribosomal RNA", at positions 335 to 802 of the family's 1533-position model. The record is from RNAcentral.